UACGGAGGAUCCGAGCGUUAUCCGGAUUUAUUGGGUUUAAAGGGAGCGUAGGUGGAUUGUUAAGUCAGUUGUGAAAGUUUGCGGCUCAACCGUAAAAUUGCAGUUGAAACUGGCAGUCUUGAGUACAGUAGAGGUGGGCGGAAUUCGUGGUGUAGCGGUGAAAUGCUUAGAUAUCACGAAGAACUCCGAUUGCGAAGGCAGCUCACAGGACUGCAACUGACACUGAGGCUCGAAAGUGUGGGUAUCAAACAGG
RNAcentral lists this ribosomal RNA (253 nucleotides) under uncultured bacterium. RNAcentral's name for it is "partial 16S ribosomal RNA". It matches the Rfam family "Bacterial small subunit ribosomal RNA", at positions 524 to 776 of the family's 1533-position model. The record is from RNAcentral.